AUGGCGAUUCCUCCUUCUCUUGUUCCAUCUUUUCCUCAGCAUUACACUCGUCGUUCACGACCUGUGGAUGUUUCCUUGGAUGAGUCGUCCUCUUCCUCUCAGCCUACUUAUGGCUUGCGUUCUCGUCCUCAUCCGCCUAUUGAUCGCUUUGGAUUUCCCUCCGCUGGUGCUGCUGUUCUUGAGCCGACUUCUUACCGUCAGGCUGUUGUUCAUCCUGAAUGGCAGUUUGCAAUGGCAGAGGAGAUUGCUGCUCUUGAACGCACUGGUACCUGGGAUCUUGUUUCUCUUCCUCCCGGAGUCCGUCCCAUCACUUGUAAGUGGGUCUACAAGGUUAAGACUUGCUCCGAUGGUUCUCUUGAGCGUCACAAAGCUCGUCUCGUGGCUCGUGGUUUUCAGCAGGAGCAUGGUCGUGAUUAUGACGAGACUUUUGCUCCUGUGGCCCAUAUGACCACUAUUCGUACACUUCUUGCUGUUGCCUCUGCACGCCACUGGACUAUAUCUCAGCUUGAUGUUAAGAAUGCCUUUCUUAAUGGUGAGCUGCAUGAGGAAGUGUACAUGCAGCCACCACCUGGGUAUUCUGUUCCUGAUGGCAUGGUGUGUCGUCUUCGUCGCUCUCUCUAUGGCCUUAAGCAAGCCCCUCGCGCCUGGUUUGAGCGUUUUGCUUCUGUGGUCACUACUGCUGGUUUUUCCGCAAGUGCUCAUGAUCCCGCAUUGUUUAUUCACCUUUCUCCUCAUGGCCGGACUCUUCUUCUUCUCUAUGUUGAUGAUAUGGUCAUCACUGGGGAUGACCCUGAGUAUAUUGCCUUUGUCAAGGCCCGUCUUAGUGAGCAGUUUCUUAUGUCUGAUCUUGGACCUCUUCGCUACUUUCUUGGGAUUGAAGUCUCUUCUACCUCUGAUGGCUUUUUUAUAUCCCAGGAAAAGUAUAUCCAGGAUCUUCUUGCUCGUGCUGCUCUUUCUGACGAGCGCACUGUUGAGACUCCUAUGGAGCUCAAUGUUCACCUCCGUGCUACUAAUGGUGAUCCUCUCCCUGACCCGACACGUUAUCGUCAUCUCGUUGGCAGUCUUGUCUAUCUAGCUGUCACUCAUCCAGACAUCUCUUAUCCGGUUCAUAUUCUGAGUCAGUUUUUCUCUGCUCCCACAUCGGUUCAUUAUAGUCAUCUCCUUCGUGUUCUCCGAUAUCUUCGGGGCACGAUCUCUCACCGUCUCUUCUUUCCUAGCUCCAGUUCUUUACAGCUUCAGGCCUAUGCGGAUGCUACGUGGGCUAGUGAUCCUUCUGAUCGCCGUUCACUUUCUGCUUACUGUGUUUUUCUUGGCGGUUCUCUCAUUGCCUGGAAGACGAAGAAACAGAUUGCAGUUUCCCGUUCGAGUGCUGAGGCUGAGUUGCGAGCUAUGGCUCUUUUGACGGCAGAGGUGACUUGGUUACGGUGGUUACUUCAGGAUUUUGGUGUUUCCGUCACUACACCGACUAUGCUCUUAUCUGACAGUACAGGUGCUAUUAGUAUUGCACGCGAUCCUGUGAAGCAUGAGCUCACCAAGCAUAUUGGUGUUGAUGCUUUCUAUGUGCGCGCUGCUGUGCAGGAUCAGGUUAUUGCUCUUCAGUAUGUGCCUUCCGAGUUACAGUUGGCGGAUUUCCUGACGAAGGCCCAGACUAGAGCGCAACAUGGCUUUUAUCUCUCCAAACUCAGUGUUGUUCCUCCACCAUGA
This 1704-nucleotide ribosomal RNA is filed under the name Triticum aestivum (bread wheat). RNAcentral describes it as "partial small subunit ribosomal RNA". Lineage: Eukaryota; Viridiplantae; Streptophyta; Magnoliopsida; Poales; Poaceae. The record is from RNAcentral.